RNAcentral lists this ribosomal RNA (737 nucleotides) under Nocardiopsis sp. Its description in RNAcentral is "bacterial SSU rRNA". It matches the Rfam family "Bacterial small subunit ribosomal RNA", at positions 87 to 824 of the family's 1533-position model. Lineage: Bacteria; Bacillati; Actinomycetota; Actinomycetes; Streptosporangiales; Nocardiopsidaceae. The record is from RNAcentral.
GUACACGAGCGGCGAACGGGUGAGUAACACGUGAGCAACCUGCCCCCGACUCCGGGAUAAGCGGUGGAAACGCCGUCUAAUACCGGAUACGACCUCGUACCUCCUGGUGCGGGGUGGAAAGUUCUGUCGGUCGGGGAUGGGCUCGCGGCCUAUCAGCUUGUUGGUGGGGUAACGGCCUACCAAGGCGAUUACGGGUAGCCGGCCUGAGAGGGCGACCGGCCACACUGGGACUGAGACACGGCCCAGACUCCUGCGGGAGGCAGCAGUGGGGAAUAUUGCGCAAUGGGCGAAAGCCUGACGCAGCGACGCCGCGUGGGGGAUGACGGCCUUCGGGUUGUAAACCUCUUUUACCACCAACGCAGGCUCCCGGUUCUCCGGGGGUUGACGGUAGGUGGGGAAUAAGGACCGGCUAACUACGUGCCAGCAGCCGCGGUAAUACGUAGGGUCCGAGCGUUGUCCGGAAUUAUUGGGCGUAAAGAGCUCGUAGGCGGCGUGUCGCGUCUGCUGUGAAAGACCGGGGCUUAACUCCGGUUCUGCAGUGGAUACGGGCAUGCUAGAGGUAGGUAGGGGAGACUGGAAUUCCUGGUGUAACGGUGAAAUGCGCACAUAUCAGGAGGAACACCGGUGGCGAAGGCGGGUCUCUGGGCCUUACCUGACGCUGANGAGCGAAAGCAUGGGGAGCGAACANGAUUAGAUACCCUGGUAGUCCAUGCCGUAAACGUUGUGCGCUAGGUGUG